This 148-nucleotide transfer RNA is filed under the name Ostreococcus tauri. RNAcentral's name for it is "tRNA-Pro". The record is from RNAcentral. Lineage: Eukaryota; Viridiplantae; Chlorophyta; Mamiellophyceae; Mamiellales; Bathycoccaceae.
GGGGUAUUGGUCUAGUGGUAUGAUACUCUCUUAGGGCUGUAUUCAUCAAAAUACGGUUUCAGAGACUCGAGCUCGAGUCACUCCGAGCGCAGUUCCCGAAGGCGAUUUAACUUGGGAGUGGUCCGCGGUUCGAUUCCGCGAUACCCCC